GAUGAACGCUGGCGGCGUGCCUAAUACAUGCAAGUCGAGCGAACAGACGAGGAGCUUGCUCCUCUGACGUUAGCGGCGGACGGGUGAGUAACACGUGGAUAACCUACCUAUAAGACUGGGAUAACUUCGGGAAACCGGAGCUAAUACCGGAUAAUAUAUUGAACCGCAUGGUUCAAUAGUGAAAGACGGUUUUGCUGUCACUUAUAGAUGGAUCCGCGCCGCAUUAGCUAGUUGGUAAGGUAACGGCUUACCAAGGCAACGAUGCGUAGCCGACCUGAGAGGGUGAUCGGACACACUGGAACUGAGACACGGUCCAGACUCCUACGGGAGGCAGCAGUAGGGAAUCUUCCGCAAUGGGCGAAAGCUUGACGGAGCAACGCCGCGUGAGUGAUGAAGGUCUUCGGAUCGUAAAACUCUGUUAUUAGGGAAGAACAAAUGUGUAAGUAACUAUGCACGUCUUGACGGUACCUAAGCAGAAAACCACGGCUAACUACGU
RNAcentral lists this ribosomal RNA (496 nucleotides) under uncultured bacterium. RNAcentral's name for it is "partial 16S ribosomal RNA". It matches the Rfam family "Bacterial small subunit ribosomal RNA", at positions 28 to 506 of the family's 1533-position model. The record is from RNAcentral.